UUCGUGUGAACAGUGGUUGAUCACGAGUUAGUCGGUCCUAAGUUCAAGGCGAAAGCCGAAAAUUUUCAAGUAAAUAUUUGGAAUUAUAUAUAUAUGUUAUUAUUAUAAACUUGAAUAAUUUUGAACGAAAGGGAAUACGGUUCCAAUUCCGUAACCUGUUGAGUAUCCGUUUGUUAUUAAAUAUGGGCCUCGUGCUCAUCCUGGCAACAGGAACGACCAUAAAGAAGCCGUCGAGAGAUAUCGGAAGAGUUUUCUUUUCUGUUUUAUAGCCGUACUACCAUGGAAGUCUUUCGCAGAGAGAUAUGGUAGAUGGGCUAGAAGAGCAUGACAUAUACUGUUGUGUCGAUAUUUUCUCCUCGGACCUUGAAAAUUUAUGGUGGGGAUACGCAAACUUCUCAACAGGCCGUACCAAUAUCCGCAGCUGGUCUCCAAGGUGAAGAGUCUCUAGUCGAUAGAAUA
This 459-nucleotide ribosomal RNA is filed under the name Dichaetophora cf. raridentata 0581. RNAcentral's name for it is "partial 28S ribosomal RNA". It matches the Rfam family "Eukaryotic large subunit ribosomal RNA", at positions 1508 to 1897 of the family's 3401-position model. The record is from RNAcentral. Lineage: Eukaryota; Metazoa; Arthropoda; Insecta; Diptera; Drosophilidae.